GAUGAAGAACGUAGCGAACUGCGAUAAGUAAUGUGAAUUGCAGAAUUCAGUGAAUCAUCGAGUCUUUGAACGCACAUUGCGCCCCCUGGCAUUCCGGGGAGCAUGCCUGUCCGAGCGUCAUUGCUGCCCUUCAAGCCCGGCUUGUGUGUUGGGUCGUCGUCCCCCCCGGGGGACGGGCCCGAAAGGCAGCGGCGGCACCGCGUCCGGUCCUCGAGCGUAUGGGGCUUUGUCACCCGCUCGAUUAGGGCCGGCCGGGCGCCAGCCGGCGUCUCCAACCUUCUAUUUUACCAGGUUGACCUCGGAUCAGGUAGGGAUACCCGCUGAACUUAAGCAUAUCAAUAAGCGGAGGA
RNAcentral lists this unclassified non-coding RNA (350 nucleotides) under soil metagenome. RNAcentral's name for it is "partial contains 5.8S ribosomal RNA, internal transcribed spacer 2, and large subunit ribosomal RNA". The stretch from base 1 to 120 matches the Rfam family "5.8S ribosomal RNA", at positions 35 to 154 of the family's 154-position model. The record is from RNAcentral.